UAUAACGUCACAGAGAACAUUAGCAUGGACCUGUGGAAGGAUGACAUGGAAAUUCACAAAGCAUUCCAUAUUUAA
Molecule: small nuclear RNA, 75 nt
Filed under: Mustela putorius furo (domestic ferret)
Lineage: Eukaryota; Metazoa; Chordata; Mammalia; Carnivora; Mustelidae
Source: RNAcentral